AUAAACUUUAUUUGAUGACCUUUUCUGCUGGGUAUCAUCUGUGUGUUCCACCAUCAGCCUAAACACAGCAUGUUUGUUCAUUUGUUCAUUUGUUUCUUCAUUCAACGUAGGUUUGAGGUUCAGUCUGUUAAAAGAUAGAGAAAUAUAAAGAUAAAUUACUAGUAUGUCCCAUUAAUGGAAAAUACUAAGCUAGGUGGAAUAUCAAAGAAGUGAUAAAUUGUGCCUCAGGGAGGCUUUAAAAAGGUUACGUUUAUUAGGCUGGUCUUAAAGGCUUUCAGCUUCUUUGUAAUGUGAGAAAAAUAAUAAUUACCUGCCUUACAGAACUGUUGUCAAGUGAAAAAUCCUUGUGAAAAUGCUUUGUGAAGUUUGUGUAAAUACUAGCUUUGAAGAUUACAUAAUGUAAGUGCAACAACAUCAAUUUUGGAUUAAGGCCUGGAUUUGAAUCACGAUUCACUUUUACUAGCUAUGUGACUUUCAGCAAGUGAUUGUAAUUUUUGAUCCCUUCAGUUUCUUGAUCUAUCAAAUGGAGAUAAUACCUCUUUUAAAGAACAUUUGGAAUGAGAUGAAAUAAUCAGACGAACGCCUGGCAAGUAAUAGGCUCUCAUCAAAUGUUAAUUUCCUUCCUUUCUUCCUUCAGUCUAGUUUGCAGUGAAAGGUGAGGAAUUAGAAACAGAAAAUGCAGGUCUGCAAUUCCUUGUCUAAAAAGCCUAAAAUCCAAAAAGCUUUGAAAACAGAAGUUUUUUAAAUAGGUGAUAAAGUCUGACAUGAACUCAUUUCAAACCCUGAGCUAAACAUAAGGUUUAUUUAUCUUUAUCUUAAUAUGGUUGUUCCUAAAUUUCGUUGUAGAAAUACUGUUUUUACUCUUUGCUGCUCGGAACUUUUGAAUGGAUAAAUAUUAAGUAAUACAAGGACUAUACUAUAAUAUUUUUCUAAAAUCUGAGAAUGUCUGAAUUUUGGAACAUUUCUGACUGCAAGGGUUUGGAUAAGGGAUUGUGGACCUCUAUAGGGUAUUCUUUAAAAAUACUUGCUUUGAACCAAAUAUAGUAAGCCAGUAACUAUAGGGAACAAACAAGGUUAAAGGAACAUUUCGAUUUUUGUUUCCUUUGUUUAAGAUGGGAGAGAUUUAUAGCUAUAUAUAUGUAGGUUAAGGGGAUGGGGGGAAUACAGUGGAAAGGGAGAAGUUGAUUAUAGGUCAAGUGAGGUUCCAGAGGAUGCGGAGCGGUUCUAGGUAGGUCAGGAUAUCAAGUAGCCAUUGGCUAUAUAUGGCUGUUUAAAUUUAUCAAAUCAAAUUGAAAAUCAAUUCCUUAGUUGCUUUGACAGCAUUUUGGUUGUUCAGUAGCGACAUGUGCUAGUGGCUACUGUGUUGGACUGCAGAUAUAUCACGUUCUUAUCAUUACAGAAAAUUAUAUUGGAUAGCACUGCUUUAGAGCAGGAGUAAAGGGGUAUUUUCAGAAGAGACCAGAGAGAAUGGAAGUUAAUAUAAUUUAGAUUCUUUAGUGGAUGAAAGUUGUCAAGAGACUGUUAAUCCUCAGCUGCUUUGUUUUUUCCUGAAUGGUUGGAAAUAAAGACAUCCAAUUACAGUUGACCCUUGAACAAUAUUAGGUUUGAACUGUCUGUGCAGAACCAUUUACACAAAUCUGCCUAUAAAUCGACCCACACAAUUCAAACCCAUGUUGUUCAAGGGUCAACUGUAGUCAGAAGGGGCAGGAGGUAGGCAGAUUAGAGUGGUUAAAGUCAUUUUAUCCAAAGGCAGCUGUCCUUGUCCCUCAUUGCAUCUCUCCAUUUUUCCCGUUUCUCAAGUUCAAAUCCAUUCUACUUGUAUUCUAGCCUUGUAAUUACUUGCAUUCUUCCUUUCAUUUCCAUUAGCAAAUUCCAUUCCAUGUUACAUAGUUUCUUUUUCAAAUAAAAGCAAACAAAAAGCCCUUUGCUAUCGACCCACAGACCACAGCAAGGCCCCUGUUUUACAAUAUUUUAGGUUUUCCAGAGCAGUUAUUAGUCCGUCUGCUGUUCUGCUUUCUCACCCCCUUCUCUAAGUCUGGAUUGCAGCUCUUUGACUGCUCUCCACAUGGACCAGCAGAGCGGCCUCCUUUGCUUGCCCCAGCUGCUGUUCCCCUUACUAAGACACCUCCCCUUUUGGUUAAGCAGAACUACUUGCCCCCUUAGUUCUGCUUUCUCUUACCAAGAAUUUAAAGUUAUUCAAUGUAGAGAAUUCAUAGUAGGAGGUAUUCCUUCAUAAUUAUUAUGACACUUAUUAUAGUUAAUUACAGUUAGACUUAAAUCAGUGCUGUUUUUCAUUCUUAUUCCUUCCAGCUCUGUAUACCUUCAAAGUAGUAAAUCAUGCUAUGCUCCCUGCAUAAUAUAGGAUGUUUUCAUUUGACUUUUAAUAAGUGUAAAAAAUUCUCCCUAACAUUCUGUCUGAUUUAUGUUUUCAUUAUUUGUCACAGAAUUAUAGAACAAUGAAAAAAGUAUUAGACCUGGAAGGAACUUUAGGAAUAGAUUAUUUACUUCCAUAUUUCACAGUUGAGAAAACUAAGAUUUAAAGAAGCUUAGUGAUUUGCCCAAGGACAUUCACUAAUUGUUGGCAGAGUAGGAAUGAGAACCUAGGGUUUCUGACUACUAAUCUAGUAUACACUAUCUAAAUGAUAUUUUAAAAUAUUAUUAUGGUGAAGGGAAAUGAGUCCAGUAAUUACUCAUUACUAGUGAAAUACAGAGUGCUUUUUAAAACCAAUAUAAGGUUUUACUAUUUGUUCUUUGCUUUUUUUUUUUUUAAGAAAAUUUUACUUUUCAACAAUGGUGUAGUAUUAUAACUAAUAAGGAGAAAUUUAAAUGUUCUUUGUAUCAGUACACUAUACUUUGUAUUAAAAUAAGUGAUUAUGGUUGAAAGCAUUUAAUGUCUAGUUAGAUUGCUUUAAAAAUUCUGAUUAUUCAGUGGGACCUUACUAUUGAGUUCCACAAUAAUACGACUUAUCAAAAAUUGUUUAAAAAAAAUAAUCAUAAUUAAAAUGUGUCCAAUUUUUAUGUCUUAUUAAAAAUCUCUUUGAAAAAUAGUACUUUUGGAGUAGUGUGUCAGAUUGUAAGUAGUUGUUCAUUGAAUGUUGUGUUAGCAUUAGUUUUCUUUAGAACUGCUUAUAUGGCCUUUUUUGCUGGUUAUACAUUUUAUAAAGUAUCUUCAAUAUUUGUUCCUGCCAACCAGUAUUAAGAGUAACAACUUCCAUACGUUUCAACAGUAUUUAACUCUUUGAUAAUAUGUAUUCAUACUUUGACUCUUUUGGAGAUAUAAAGAAUAAAUGCUGGUUUCCCGGUCGAAAUCAUAGUUGCCACUUUCUUUUCCCUCAGUAUUGCAUUCAUUAGACCUAAGUGAAAAUGAUGCAUACUGUGCUUAAAAGGCUAUGUUUUAUACUUUUCAGUAGCUAUUUUCAAGUAUUUUUGUUUAAAUACAAAGAUGGUAAAAUAAUUUUUAAUAAUAGCUGGAAUUGUUUGUGUAUAUAUUGUGGUUAUGGGAACAUUUAACUAUGGAAAUACUACCAAAUAAAAGCCAUACUGGAUCAAGUUUUA
Long non-coding RNA from Myotis brandtii (Brandt's bat), 3555 nucleotides. RefSeq lists it as uncharacterized. NCBI's taxonomy places the organism in Eukaryota, Metazoa, Chordata, Mammalia, Chiroptera, Vespertilionidae. The record is from RefSeq and is a predicted model, not a curated record. The transcript has 2 exons.